This 236-nucleotide long non-coding RNA is filed under the name Bos taurus (domestic cattle). Its description in RNAcentral is "long non-coding RNA NONBTAT015412". The record is from RNAcentral. Lineage: Eukaryota; Metazoa; Chordata; Mammalia; Artiodactyla; Bovidae.
UUUUGUUCCUUAAAAUAUAUUUUCCAAUCAUGUAUAUUUACUUUAAAAUGUAGUUUUCCUUACACAAGUACUACACGAAGACAAUUUUGUUAAAAAGUACAAACAAGAACCCCUAGGUCAGCUCUCCUUUCUGGAGGAAACAGAUGAUUGUCAGGUGGGAGUCUUGCUUCUAGACUUUUCUCUGGAGUUGACCACAUAAAGACGAAACCAUUUCAUAGGCUGCAUGCAGACCACAC